GAAAUGCGAUAAGUAGUGUGAAUUGCAGAAUUCAGUGAAUCAUCGAAUCUUUGAACGCACAUUGCGCCCCUUGGUAUUCCAUGGGGCAUGCCUGUUCGAGCGUCAUCUACACCCUCAAGCUCUGCUUGGUGUUGGGCGUCUGUCCCCGCCUCCGCGCGCGGACUCGCCCCAAAUCCAUUGGCAGCGUCCCCUCGCCCCCCUCUCGCGCAGCACGAAUGCGCAUGACGAGGGAGCGGCUCCCGGGAUCGCGACCCACCCCCAAGAUGACCACCGUCUUUGACCUCGGAUCAGGUAUGGAUACCCGCUGAACUUAAGC
Molecule: unclassified non-coding RNA, 316 nt
Filed under: plant metagenome
Description: partial contains 5.8S ribosomal RNA, internal transcribed spacer 2, and large subunit ribosomal RNA
Rfam family: 5.8S ribosomal RNA (bases 1-105)
Source: RNAcentral